This 913-nucleotide ribosomal RNA is filed under the name uncultured archaeon. Its description in RNAcentral is "bacterial SSU rRNA". It matches the Rfam family "Archaeal small subunit ribosomal RNA", at positions 1 to 922 of the family's 1478-position model. The record is from RNAcentral.
UUCCGGUUGAUCCUGCCGGAGGCCACUGCUAUUGGGAUCCGACUAAGCCAUGCGAGUCGAGAGGGUUCGGCCCUCGGCAGACUGCUCAGUAACACGUAGAUAACCUAACCUUAGGUGGAAGAUAACCUCGGGAGACUGAGAAUAAUAUUCCAUAGAUCUAGGAUGCUGGAAUGCAUCUAGAUUGAAAGUUCCGACGCCUAAGGAUGGGUCUGCGGACUAUCAGGUUGUAGUCAGGGUAAAGACCUGACUAGCCUACGACGGAUAUGGGUUGUGAGAGCAAUAGCCCAGAGACGAUAUCUGAGACACGAUAUCGGGCCCUACGGGGCGCAGCAGGCGCGAAAUCUUCACAAUGUGCGAAAGCACGAUGAGGGGAUCCCAAGUGCUGGCACGUAAGUGUCAGCUGUUUCUUAGUCUAAAAAACUGAGAGAGUAAGGGCUGGGUAAGACGGGUGCCAGCCGCCGCGGUAAUACCUGCAGCUCAAGUGGUGGCCGCUAUUAUUGGGCCUAAAACGUCCGUAGCCUGUUUAGUAAAUGCUUGGGUAAAUUGUGUAGCUUAACUAUACGAAUACCGGGUAGACUGCUAAACUUGCGACCGGGAGAGGCUAGAGGUACUCCUGAGAUAGAGGUGAUAUUCUGUAGUCCUAGGGGGACCACCAGUGGCGAAGGCGUCUAGCUAGAUCGGGUCUGACGGUGAUGGACGAAGCCCUGGGGCGCAAACCGGAUUAGAUACCCGGGUAGUCCAGCGUGUAAACGCUGCUUGCUUGAUGUUAGUUGGGCUCCGAGCCCAACUAGUGUCUGAGACAAGUUGUUAAGCUAGCUGCCUGUGAAGUACGGUCGCGACGACUGAAACUUACAUCACUAGUCGGAGGAGCUACAGCAGCGGCUGUAGCGUGCGCUUAUGGACUCACGCGGGA